GACGAACGCUGGCGGCGUGCUUAACACAUGCAAGUCGAACGAUGAAGCCGGAGCUUGCUCUGGUGAAUUAGUGGCGAACGGGUGAGUAACACGUGAGUAACCUGCCCUUGACUCUGGGAUAACUGCGGGAAACUGUAGCUAAUACCGGAUACGACCCUCGGAGGCAUCUCCUGGGGGUGGAAAGAAUUUCGGUCAAGGAUGGACUCGCGGCCUAUCAGCUAGUUGGUGAGGUAAAGGCUAACCAAGGCGACGACGGGUAGCUGGCCUGAGAGGGUGACCGGCCACACUGGGACUGAGACACGGCCAAGACUCCUACGGGAGGCAGCAGUGGGGAAUAUUGCACAAUGGGCGCAAGCCUGAUGCAGCAACGCCGCGUGAGGGAUGACGGCCUUCGGGUUGUAAACCUCUUUUAGCAGGGAAGAAGCGAAAGUGACGGUACCUGCAGAAAAAGCACCGGCUAACUACGUGCCAGCCGCCGCCGUAA
This 484-nucleotide ribosomal RNA is filed under the name uncultured bacterium. RNAcentral describes it as "partial 16S ribosomal RNA". It matches the Rfam family "Bacterial small subunit ribosomal RNA", at positions 28 to 523 of the family's 1533-position model. The record is from RNAcentral.